GUCUAUUUGUAGAUAUAAGGAGUCGGGCCUGCUCACUGAUUUAAGAUUUUUAAGAGCCGCGGUAAUAUGACCGUGCAAAGGUAGCAUAAUCAUUAGGUUUUUAAAUGGGAUCUUGUAUGAAUGGUCGGACAAAGGAAAAGCUGUCUUUAUUUUAAAAUUUGAAUUUUACUUUUAAGUGAGAAGGCUUAAAUAUUUUAGAGGGACGAUAAGACCCUAUAAAGCUUUACAUUAUAAAUGCAUUUAAUUAAAUUUAAAAAUAAAAGUUUAAUGUAGAUAUAUGUUUUAUUGGGGAGAUAGAAGUAAAAAUUAUAUUAACUGCUUUAAUGAUUAACAUUUAUUAGUGGAAACCAAAAUUAAUAAAUCCUAUAAAUAUUAUAGAAGAAAGAUUAAGUUACUUUAGGGAUAACAGUGUAAUUUUUUUUGAGAGUUCAUAUCGGAAAAAAAGUUUGCAACCUCGAUGUUGAAUUAAAAUAUCUAUAUAAUGUAGUUGUUAUAUAAGAGGGUCUGUUCGACCUUU
RNAcentral lists this ribosomal RNA (517 nucleotides) under Parathelphusa sp. 2 SK-2012. RNAcentral describes it as "partial 16S ribosomal RNA". It matches the Rfam family "Bacterial large subunit ribosomal RNA", at positions 1831 to 2589 of the family's 2925-position model. The record is from RNAcentral. Lineage: Eukaryota; Metazoa; Arthropoda; Malacostraca; Decapoda; Gecarcinucidae.